UACGGAGGAUGCAAGCGUUAUCCGGAUUCAUUGGGUUUAAAGGGUGCGUAGGCGGCCAUUUAAGUCAGCGGUGAAAUUUUGCAGCUUAACUGUAACAGUGCCGUUGAUACUGUUUGGCUAGGAUUUGGUUGUAGUGUGCGGAAUGUGUGGUGUAGCGGUGAAAUGCUUAGAUAUCACACAGAACACCGAUUGCGAAGGCAGCACACUAAGUCAUUAUUGACGCUGAGGCACGAAAGUGUGGGGAUCAAACAGGAUUA
This 257-nucleotide ribosomal RNA is filed under the name uncultured prokaryote. RNAcentral's name for it is "partial 16S ribosomal RNA". It matches the Rfam family "Bacterial small subunit ribosomal RNA", at positions 524 to 780 of the family's 1533-position model. The record is from RNAcentral.